Molecule: ribosomal RNA, 478 nt
Filed under: uncultured Bacillota bacterium
Lineage: Bacteria; Bacillati; Bacillota
Description: bacterial SSU rRNA
Rfam family: Bacterial small subunit ribosomal RNA
Source: RNAcentral
UAGGGAAUCUUCCACAAUGGGCGAAAGCCUGAUGGAGCAACGCCGCGUGAGUGAUGAAGGCCUUUGGGUUGUAAAACUCUGUCUUCUGUGACGAACAAGCCUGUGAGUAAAAUGCUCAGGCCCUGACGGUAACAGAGGAGGAAGCCACGGCUAACUACGUGCCAGCAGCCGCGGUAAUACGUAGGUGGCAAGCGUUGUCCGGAAUCACUGGGCGUAAAGCGCGCGCAGGCGGCGAUCUACGUCUGGGGUGAAAGCCCGGAGCUCAACUCCGGGACUGCCUUGGAUACGGGAUCGCUUGAGAAUUGGAGAGGCAAGGGGAAUUCCACGUGUAGCGGUGAAAUGCGUAGAUAUGUGGAGGAACACCUGUGGCGAAGGCGCCUUGCUGGCCAAUUCUGACGCUGAGGCGCGAAAGCGUGGGGAGCGAAACAGGAUUAGAUACCCUGGUAGUCCACGCCGUAAACGAUGAGUGCUAGGUGUU